RNAcentral lists this transfer RNA (55 nucleotides) under Varanus caudolineatus. RNAcentral's name for it is "tRNA-Cys". Lineage: Eukaryota; Metazoa; Chordata; Lepidosauria; Squamata; Varanidae. The record is from RNAcentral.
GGCUCAGACUUAGUUGGACUGCAAAUCCAAUUUUGGGAGGGUUUCCCCUGGACUU